Nicotiana tabacum (common tobacco) is the source of this 1177-nucleotide long non-coding RNA. RefSeq lists it as uncharacterized. NCBI's taxonomy places the organism in Eukaryota, Viridiplantae, Streptophyta, Magnoliopsida, Solanales, Solanaceae. The record is from RefSeq and is a predicted model, not a curated record.
UUGAACCUGAAGUUGGUCAAUUGAUAAUUACUUGUUGGUUUGAAUUGCAUAUCUACUUAAUCAACUUGUUUAAUCAGUUGUUGAGUCAUGUUUAGCUUAUGUUUAUUAGCUUACUAUUAAUUCAGUUUAGUUUAUUGCUAUCUGUUAAACGUUUGGUUUUGAUAUGAGAAAGAGGGCAAUAAUUUUGGGUAUAGGGUAGUAAAACAAUGAGUUAAAAGAAAAGGUUAAACGAAGGGUGUUAACAUAGACUCGAGGGAGUAAAAGGAAAUAAGAAAAUGAGAGAAAACUUCUAGAAAGGGACUACUGUCUUAAUUUGUUAGAAAAGAUGCAGAAAUUAGAUACAGCUCUCCAUUUUCUGGUACAAAAAGAUGCCAUUUUCCUGAAUUUAAGGGAAGGCUGGUAGAUUCUUUGGAGCUGAUCUGAUUCCUUCAUAAAGCUCUCAUAUAUUCUAUAUAAUAGAGGAAUUCUUUGCAGAUUUUACACACAGUAAAAUCCCAGAAAAAUCUAAAAUUUCCUUUUCAUUUAACACUGAUCCUGCACUGAUUUUUUAGAGUCCUCUUUUCUUCACUUUCAUUUUAGCAAAGAAAAUUCUGGAAAACCAACUCUGGGAUUUCAGAAACAAAAAUAAAAAUAAAUACUCUCUGAAAAUCUGAAAUUUCACACGUUAACAAGAAGAAAUCUGGGCAUUUCUGGAAAGAAUCAGUGUUCAUCGACACUGUUUCAUUGUUUUUCUUUUGGUUCAUUUCUGGAUUUUUGAGAUUGAGCUUCAAAGCAUUCUUGUGUUGUUUCUACUGUUUGUGUGCUUGCUGUUGCUUCUUCUCAGAAUUUCAGAGAUUUAUUUUCUCUUUUACUUACCUUUGUUGCUUUAAGAUAUUGUUGGUGGUCAAGUGAUUUCUGAGGGUAGCUCAGUGGCUAUCUCAUUGUAAAUCAAGAUCAACAAGGAGAUUGAAAAGUCACUAGCUUAAGUCAUUUUUUCUUUCUUCCUGGAAAGGUGUAAAAGAAGACAUCAUUAGUUUCGAUUAAUCAACCUUGUAAUUUCAAUUGUCUAUUGUUAAUUGAUGUAAUCACAUGACAAAUCAUGAACCAUAUUCAUUUUUAUUUACAUAUUUUGUUUGGAUUUGGAAAUUAAUGUUAGACCUCCAGAAUUUAUAAAUUUGGGCCCUUUUAGCGUGAUCAA